AAACUCAAAGGAAUUGACGGGGACCCGCACAAGCAGCGGAGCGUGUGGUUUAAUUCGAUGCUACACGAAGAACCUUACCAGGGUUUGACAUGCAAGUGGUAGGAAACUGAAAAGGGACCGACCUUCGGGGAGCUUGCACAGGUGCUGCAUGGCUGUCGUCAGCUCGUGUCGUGAGAUGUUCGGUUAAGUCCGCUAACGAGCGCAACCCUCACUGUGUGUUAUAUGUGUCACACGGGACUGCCGGUUUUAAGCCGGAGGAAGGUGGGAUGACGUCAAGUCAGCAUGGCCUUUAUAUCCUGGGCUACACACACGCUACAAUGGUCGGUACAAUAGGUUGCCAAGCCGCGAGGCGGAGCCAAUCCAAAAAAGCCGGCCUCAGUUCAGAUUGUAGGCUGCAACUCGCCUGCAUGAAGAUGGAGUUGCUAGUAACCGCAGGUCAGCAAUACUGCGGUGAAUACGUUCCCGGGUCUU
Molecule: ribosomal RNA, 471 nt
Filed under: uncultured Anaerolineaceae bacterium
Lineage: Bacteria; Bacillati; Chloroflexota; Anaerolineae; Anaerolineales; Anaerolineaceae
Description: bacterial SSU rRNA
Rfam family: Bacterial small subunit ribosomal RNA
Source: RNAcentral